RNAcentral lists this ribosomal RNA (1398 nucleotides) under Fidelibacterota bacterium. RNAcentral's name for it is "partial 23S ribosomal RNA". It matches the Rfam family "Bacterial large subunit ribosomal RNA", at positions 204 to 1754 of the family's 2925-position model. Lineage: Bacteria; Pseudomonadati; Fidelibacterota. The record is from RNAcentral.
UAGUAGCUAGAGGAAAAGAAAUCUAUUCCGUUAGUAGUGACGAGCGAAUGCGGACCAGGCCAGUAGCAAUAAUUUAAUAACUAGAACUUUCUGGAAAGUCAGACCAAAGUGGGUGAUAGUCCCGUACAGGUAAAAAGUAUUAUUGUUCUCGAGUAGGGCGGAACACGUGAAAUUUUGUCUGAAUAUGGGGAGACCACUUCCCAAGCCUAAAUACUCCUUGAUGACCGAUAGUGAACAAGUACCGUGAGGGAAAGGUGAAAAGCACCCCGAUAGGGGGAAUGAAAUAGUAUCUGAAACCGAAUGCCUACAAGCAGUCAGAGCUUCCUUGUGAAGUGAUGGCAUACCUUUUGUAUAAUGGGUCAGCGACUUAGUCUGUGCAGCAAGCUUAAGCCGUCAGGUGUAGGCGUAGGGAAACCAAGUCUUAAUAGGGCAUUAGUUGUACGGAUUAGACUCGAAGCGGGAUGAGCUUAAUAUGAGCAGGUUGAAGAUGUAGUAACAUACAUCGGAGGACCGAACCAUUAGACGUUGCAAUGUCUUUGGAUGACUUGUGUUAAGGGGUGAAAGGCCAACCAAAUUCGUAGAUAGCUGGUUUUCCGCGAAAACUAUUUAGGUAGUGCGUUGAAUAAACAUGCUUUUGGAGGUAGAGCACUAAAUGGGCUAGGGGGGAGAAAUCCUUACCAAACCUAAUAAAACUCCGAAUGCCAAAAGUAAUUCCUCAACAGACAGACUGUGGGUGCUAAGGUCCAUGGUCGAGAGGGGAACAGCCCAGAUCACCAGAUAAGGUCCCUAAAUUAUGAUUAAGUGUGAAAGGAUGUGGAAAUUCCUAAACAGCCGGGAGGUUGGCUUAGAAGCAGCCAUCCUUUAAAGAUAGCGUAACAGCUCACCGGUCUAAUAGAGUUUCUGCGCCUAAGAUGUAACGGGGCUCAAAUCAUAUACCGAAUCUGUGGGUGCAUAAAGUUUUCGAAUUUUAUGCGCGGUAGCGGAACGUUCUGUAAGCCUGUAAAGGAAUACCCGUGAGGGAUUCUGGAGGUAUCAGAAGUGCGAAUGCUGACAUAAGUAACGAUAAACGAAGUGAAAAACUUCGUCGCCGAAAAUCUAAGGGUUUCUGCGCAAGGUUAAUCCGCGCAGAGUUAGUCGGCACCUAAGGCGAGGGCGAAAGCCGUAGUCGAUGGAAAUAAGGUUAAUAUUCCUUAACCAGAUGGAAGUGACGGAUCUUGUAAGUUGUGAGUUCUUAAUGGAUUGAACUUGCUGCGAAAAGGUCCCAGGAAAUAGCUCCAUCAUUAGACCGUACCCUAAACCGACACAGGUAGAUUAAUAGAGUAUAUUUAGGCGCUUGAGAGAAUGAUGUUGAAGGAACUCGGCAAAAUGCUUCUGUAACUUCGGAAUAAAGAAGACCUU